RNAcentral lists this ribosomal RNA (478 nucleotides) under uncultured organism. Its description in RNAcentral is "partial 16S ribosomal RNA". It matches the Rfam family "Bacterial small subunit ribosomal RNA", at positions 331 to 800 of the family's 1533-position model. The record is from RNAcentral.
GUACACUCCUGCGGGAGGCAGCAGUGGGGAAUUUUGGACAAUGGGCGCAAGCCUGAUCCAGCCAUGCCGCGUGCGGGAAGAAGGCCUUCGGGUUGUAAACCGCUUUUGUCAGGGAAGAAAAGGUUCUGGCUAAUACCUGGGACUCAUGACGGUACCUGAAGAAUAAGCACCGGCUAACUACGUGCCAGCAGCCGCGGUAAUACGUAGGGUGCAAGCGUUAAUCGGAAUUACUGGGCGUAAAGCGUGCGCAGGCGGUUAUGCAAGACAGAGGUGAAAUCCCCGGGCUCAACCUGGGAACUGCCUUUGUGACUGCAUGGCUAGAGUACGGUAGAGGGGGAUGGAAUUCCGCGUGUAGCAGUGAAAUGCGUAGAUAUGCGGAGGAACACCGAUGGCGAAGGCAAUCCCCUGGACCUGUACUGACGCUCAUGCACGAAAGCGUGGGGAGCAAACAGGAUUAGAAACCCGGGUAGUCCCAUGA